Molecule: non-coding RNA, 1859 nt
Organism: Pseudonaja textilis
Lineage: Eukaryota; Metazoa; Chordata; Lepidosauria; Squamata; Elapidae
Source: RefSeq, a predicted model, not a curated record
UGAAACAUAUUCAUGUCUGGGAUCUGAGGGGUCUAAAUAUUUUCACAGCCCUCUUUUUGGCUUGAUAGUUUACUUGGAGGGCUCUGUAUGUGUGUGCUGUCUUAGUGCAGGGGUAUCAAAGUAACAUCACAGCGACAUCACAUGACGUAUCAAGGACUUUCCCCCCCCAUCACUAAAUGGCGUGGGCGUGGCCAGCACAUGAUGCAUCUGGCUCACGGACUGGGAGUUUGAGAGUAUGAUUGUCUUAGUAUGAUUUCUCUACUUGAAACUCUAUUGGUGACUAAUAAGUUUCUUCCAUGUACCAUACGCUUUUAAAUUAAAUUGCACUACAGUCACUGUUUCCACAUAACACUGCACAUCAGAAGCUCUCAGAGCUAAACCACUGGCCACUUUGUACAUUGGGGUGGGACGAGGAGGAUACACAAUUUCUUGAAAGAGUACCAUUGUUUUACAAAGUAUUCCACAGGGAAUAUUUAUUUGCAUUCUGUCCCAAAUUUCCCUACUCUUCAAAUGUUGGUAUGACGAUUAACACAGCUUUAAUGCCCUUAAAUUUUUUUAAGCUUCAUCUUGAUGUGUUGAGUUGAAUGUCUUCUUUGGUAUCUUUUUAUGCAUGAAGCAUUCACCCAUAAGCUUUUCCCAGCUGGAAUCUGAAAUUUAUGGAGUCCAUAAAAAAGCUUACUUCCUUUCCUUAAAUUUGUGUAAACUAAAGCCAGGUCUUAAUUCAUGGAGUGAGGGGCUCAGGGGUCUUUGUGAGAUAUCUAGAACUAUAGUUCAAAAAUACCAGAAGAUCUACAGGUUUCCAAUUCCUGACAUGAAGAAUACUUUACUAAUACUAAACAUUGCAUAUUUUAUUCAUAUGUAUAAUACAUAUAUAAUUUUGCUUAAUGAAUAAAUAAAGGCAUUUGUGUUUGCACCAAAAGAUAAAGACAUUCAGCCUGACAAUGAAAAAAAGAAAUAGAAAAAUCUCCAGCAAGUUAGCAACCAAGAUGGCAGAAAACUGUUUCCUCUGUCAUAUCAAGCAGCUCAUUUUUUUGGUUGUUUUUUCCCCUUUCCAUCUUUUCUCUAGCACUAUUUUACAAAUAUUGAUAGCCUGCCUUAGAAUAAAAUGCUCAUUGGGACAAGCCACAUAGAGAUUUGUUGAAACGUCACCAAGAAGCUUCAUUCUAAAGAUGUGACUCAUUCAAUCACUAGCUUUCCAGUUUUGUUUUUAAGCUUUAUACAAUUCACAAAUGCAUUCUUUCCCCCUCUGACUUUCUGGGGCUUUGUCUGAGAACCAAGAUGUUAAGAUUUUUCAUAAGUAACUGCAGCAAUUUAAGGAAUUUAACCAUCAGCCAAGUCUAUAUUGGUCAUAAUAAAGAGGUACCUCAAGACCAUUGUGGGAUUCUGUUCUCAAAUCUCAAGUACAGUUCCAAGCUGAACUAUUUCACCUUCAUUAUUACCAGCCUCAACACAGAAUGGUACUAAGUUUCAUAAGUUCUCCCUCCCACUGAUCAAAGGAGUGCCCCCAAAAUUUAAGACCAGUAAUUUCCUGUCCUUCAACUAUCUUAAUUCAGGAUGAGGGGUCAUUAAUUGAAAAGGUAGUAUCCCUGUACAUUAAUUGAAAAGGUAGUAUCCCUGGGAAAAUGUGAAUGGGAAGUUGACUUAAAUUCUGUGCAGAGAAGACACAGUCCAGAAGCAAGGAUGAAAUAGGGAUCUGGAGAUUCUCGGUCAUCCAGGUCUAGUUGCCUUUUGAAAAAACAUCUUGGGACAAAGAUGAAACGGGUUUUCAAUAAACAGCUUCUCUUCAUCUGAACGUUGCAGAACUCAGGCAAUUUGAAUUACAAAUGCGAUUCAUUGAUUCCAGACAUCCUAUGUCUGAA